UGGGGAAUAUUGGACAAUGGGCGAAAGCCUGAUCCAGCCAUGCCGCGUGUGUGAAGAAGGUCUUCGGAUUGUAAAGCACUUUAAGUUGGGAGGAAGGGCAGUAAGCGAAUACCUUGCUGUUUUGACGUUACCGACAGAAUAAGCACCGGCUAACUCUGUGCCAGCAGCCGCGGUAAUACAGAGGGUGCAAGCGUUAAUCGGAAUUACUGGGCGUAAAGCGCGCGUAGGUGGUUCGUUAAGUUGAAUGUGAAAGCCCCGGGCUCCACCUGGGAACAGCAUCCAAAACUGGCGGGCUCGAGUAGGUCAGAAGGUGGUGAAAUUUCCUGUGUAGCGGUCAAAUGCGUAGAUAUAGGAAGGGACACCAGUGGCGAAGUCGACCAACUAGACUCAUACUGACACUGAAGUGCGAAAGCGUGGGGAGCAAACAGG
Molecule: ribosomal RNA, 429 nt
Filed under: Pseudomonadota bacterium
Lineage: Bacteria; Pseudomonadati; Pseudomonadota
Description: Proteobacteria bacterium partial 16S ribosomal RNA
Rfam family: Bacterial small subunit ribosomal RNA
Source: RNAcentral